RNAcentral lists this long non-coding RNA (1860 nucleotides) under Canis lupus familiaris (dog). RNAcentral describes it as "lncRNA (ENSCAFG00845004537.1)". The record is from RNAcentral. Lineage: Eukaryota; Metazoa; Chordata; Mammalia; Carnivora; Canidae.
CUGGUUUCCACAAGUGAAACCUGAUGGGGGCUGAGCCCUGCCCUAGAGCAGUAUCCUGAGGGUAGGAGCUGGCAAGACUUGUCCUAACCUAGCCCACAUGACCUUUGCAGGCUCAUCUUCCCCGUACCAGUCCUGACAGCUCAAACUCCAGCCACAUCUGGUGCCUCACCUGUCCUGGCCAUUCCCUGCCCUUUUACCCAGUGCACCUUUGCAUUCAGGCUGCUUUCUCAGCCUGAGCUAGCUUUUCCAACAAUUGCAAGCCCAGCUCACCUUCUGGGUCCACCUCAAAGACCACUUCCUCUGAGAAGUCCUCCCUGAUUCCCCUCCUUGCUGUGUCUCACACAGUCGGCUCACUCUGGUUAGGCAUGUCUUGGUCAUUUCUAUCUGGAUAUGUGUCCCUCUUCUCUUUACCCAGUGGGCUUGAGGGCAGAGGUCCUAUCUUGUUGAUACCGUGUCCUCCACAGCAAUCAGGAAGCCUCAGGUGAUAGGAGGUGCUUCAUCAUGUCCCUGUGAACAAGAAAUAAGGUUUCCCAGAACGGUCUCCAAGGUCCCGACAGCACCUCCAGGUCAAAGUUCCAGGUCUGCUGUUGCUUCCAAAAGCACCAAUCAUCUGUUGUGCGGAGCUCACACCCCGUUGAUUCCCUACUUUCCCCACUUCUCAUCUGACUGUUUUGGCCUAACUAUCAUCUUGGCAACUUCCACCGUCUCCAGGCCAGGGUCCAUCCCCUCCGUCUCUUGAGCCACUGACCUUACCUCACCAGAUGUUUACUUUGCCUCCGACUCAAGGAGUCUGAACAUUGCUUUUGCAACACAAGCCCCAGGCACCUUGUGUGACGUGGGCAUGCUACCUCACCUCCCCAAGCCUCGCUGUUCCUUGCAGGUGAGGGUCAUGUGACUACUGGGGCUGCUGUGAAGAUCAGAUGAGCUAUGGCGUGAGAUGGGCCGAGUGUGGUGAUCUGACACACAGGAAGUAUUCACUGAAUGCUUACAGAAACAGAAAGAGGGAAUAGACCUGGCUUUAGUGGCUUGCUUCUCCAUUUUGCCAGAACCUGCUCCUGGACCUGUUCUCCCCAUUUCUCUGUUUGGGAGGGAACCAGUAUCUGGCACAGAACAACCCAAAGAGGAUCCCAGGGCCCCAAGAGAGAAGAAUCCAGACCCACCUGUGGCUGCUCUUGCCCUCGGCAGGCAGCUAAGCCCAGACUUGCUGGAUGCUGCCGGGAGAGGAAGCGAUGAAGAGCUGAGGAAAUAAAUAUCCUUUUCCUGGCUGUGGAGUUCCAAAAGCCUGCACCUCCGGACAACAGAAAGGAGGAGCUGGCUAAGGCGGAGGGGGUACAGGAGGAGUAAGACCAAUGCCCCUCCCCCGAGGUGGCUGCGGGAGGGGAGAGAGCGGAGGGGAAGCCCUACAGUAGAGGGUGGUGGGCCCUAGACACCCUCCCACCAGACUGCUGAGCUAACAACCAGAGCGCCCAGUGCCACUGCCCAGGAAGCACUGUGGGGACACGGCAAAACCCCAAGAAAAGGCGGCGGCCACGGGCAGCUUCCAAGAGUGGGGAGCACGGAGAUGAAGCUAGGGGUGCCACCACUAACAGAGACCCCAUACCUAGACCACUGACAAGGCGUGUCCCCCAGACAGACAGGAUUGUGGGCCUUCACUAAUGGGUCCUCGAUCGAUUCCCCCGAAUUUAGGGGCAACCCCCUAAGUUGCCUGACAUGACAUUUCUGCUACCUAGCAAAAUAAGGGCACAGAACAAAAUUAAAUUGAGUUAUAAAAGACUAAGUCCCAUUUGACUCCAGUAGGGAAUCCCCUAAGACCCCCCAAUUUUGCGAACUGAGAGCAUGGCGGGCUACAUCAUGUGUAGA